RNAcentral lists this long non-coding RNA (744 nucleotides) under Brassica napus (rape). RNAcentral describes it as "long non-coding RNA (BNAP_LNC001547)". The record is from RNAcentral. Lineage: Eukaryota; Viridiplantae; Streptophyta; Magnoliopsida; Brassicales; Brassicaceae.
AUAAAUUACACUUUCCUUUUUAUUCUCCAAUGGCGGCUUAAGGCAUAAAACUCCGUCACUAAUUCAGAACACGGAAACAACUCAUAGAGGUCUAAAACUCGCUAAGCAUCUGAACUGAUCGACUUGAGAACAUCGUUCAAGUACUUAUCUUCUUUGCAUGUUCUCUCUCCGGCUUAUAUAUAUAAAUAUAUAUGUGUAUAACAUAUAUGUACAUGUACGUGCACCACGUUUUUAUAUAGGUUUCAGAUUUGUCGCUAUCUCUCUCUCCUCUUUUUAAGAUUCUUUUUCUAGAUUUGUUCUCUCUCUCUCUCUCUCUUUUUUUUUUUUCCGGUCUCGUCGUUUUCGUUCAUCGGAAUGCCACCGAGUAAUCGAAGAUUAUCACACGUUGCUGCGCUGGAGUUUUAUAAGUUCGAUCAGAUCUGAGAACGGAAGACAGUUUGGUCUUAAUAAAAUCAUGUCUUUCAGGUACUUUCCUUCUUUGCAUGUUCUGUCUACUGUUAACCCACUUUUAAAGUUUUAAUUUUUAACAUUUUUUUUUCUUUUUCAUCGUUUCUACUAGUUAUAGAGAUUCAUUGGUUUAAGCAUUUUCAUGGGAAGAAGAAGAUGAUGGCGAGAGAAGUAGCUUCUGGGUUAUUGAUACUAUUCUCGAUACUGAUCUUUUUUUCUCCGGCGGCGGCUGGAAACGGCGGCGGGUGUAACUGCGAAGACGAAGGAGUAAGCUUCUGGAGCACAGAGAACAUCCUC